UACGGAGGGGGCUAGCGUUGUUCGGAAUUAUUGGGCGUAAAGCGCACGUAGGCGGCUAUUCAAGUCGGAGGUGAAAGCCUGGAGCUCAACUCCAGAACUGCCUUUGAAACUAGAUGGCUAGAAUCAUGGAGAGGUCAGUGGAAUUCCGAGUGUAGAGGUGAAAUUCGUAGAUAUUCGGAAGAACACCAGUGGCGAAGGCGGCUGACUGGACAUGUAUUGACGCUGAGGAGCGAAAGCGUGGGGAGCAAACAGG
RNAcentral lists this ribosomal RNA (253 nucleotides) under uncultured bacterium. Its description in RNAcentral is "partial 16S ribosomal RNA". It matches the Rfam family "Bacterial small subunit ribosomal RNA", at positions 524 to 776 of the family's 1533-position model. The record is from RNAcentral.